GUUGGGUAGGGGAGCGUUCUGUAAGCCUGUGAAGGUGGCCUGUGAGGGUUGCUGGAGGUAUCAGAAGUGCGAAUGCUGACAUAAGUAACGAUAAAGCGGGUGAAAAGCCCGCUCGCCGGAAGACCAAGGGUUCCUGUCCAACGUUAAUCGGGGCAGGGUGAGUCGACCCCUAAGGCGAGGCCGAAAGGCGUAGUCGAUGGGAAACGGGUUAAUAUUCCCGUACUUGGUGUUACUGCGAAGGGGGGACGGAGAAGGCUAUGUUGGCCGGGCGACGGUUGUCCCGGUUUAAGCGUGUAGGCUGGUUUUCCAGGCAAAUCCGGAAAAUCAAGGCUGAGGCGUGACGACGAGGCACUACGGUGCUGAAGCAACAAAUGCCCUGCUUCCAGGAAAAGCCUCUAAGCAUCAGGUAACAUCAAAUCGUACCCCAAACCGACACAGGUGGUCAGGUAGAGAAUACCAAGGCGCUUGAGAGAACUCGGGUGAAGGAACUAGGCAAAAUGGUGCCGUAACUUCGGGAGAAGGCACGCUGACACGUAGGUGAAGUGAUUUACUCAUGGAGCUGAAGUCAGUCGAAGAUACCAGCUGGCUGCAACUGUUUAUUAAAAACACAGCACUGUGCAAACACGAAAGUGGACGUAUACGGUGUGACGCCUGCCCGGUGCCGGAAGGUUAAUUGAUGGGGUCAGCGCAAGCGAAGCUCCUGAUCGAAGCCCCGGUAAACGGCGGCCGUAACUAUAACGGUCCUAAGGUAGCGAAAUUCCUUGUCGGGUAAGUUCCGACCUGCACGAAUGGCGUAAUGAUGGCCAGGCUGUCUCCACCCGAGACUCAGUGAAAUUGAACUCGCUGUGAAGAUGCAGUGUACCCGCGGCAAGACGGAAAGACCCCGUGAACCUUUACUAUAGCUUGACACUGAACAUUGAGCCUUGAUGUGUAGGAUAGGUGGGAGGCUUUGAAGCGUGGACGCCAGUCUGCGUGGAGCCGACCUUGAAAUACCACCCUUUAAUGUUUGAUGUUCUAACGUGGACCCGUAAUCCGGGUUGCGGACAGUGUCUGGUGGGUAGUUUGACUGGGGCGGUCUCCUCCUAAAGAGUAACGGAGGAGCACGAAGGUUGGCUAAUCCUGGUCGGACAUCAGGAGGUUAGUGCAAUGGCAUAAGCCAGCUUGACUGCGAGCGUGACGGCGCGAGCAGGUGCGAAAGCAGGUCAUAGUGAUCCGGUGGUUCUGAAUGGAAGGGCCAUCGCUCAACGGAUAAAAGGUACUCCGGGGAUAACAGGCUGAUACCGCCCAAGAGUUCAUAUCGACGGCGGUGUUUGGCACCUCGAUGUCGGCUCAUCACAUCCUGGGGCUGAAGUAGGUCCCAAGGGUAUGGCUGUUCGCCAUUUAAAGUGGUACGCGAGCUGGGUUUAGAACGUCGUGAGACAGUUCGGUCCCUAUCUGCCGUGGGCGCUGGAGAACUGAGGGGGGCUGCUCCUAGUACGAGAGGACCGGAGUGGACGCAUCACUGGUGUUCGGGUUGUCAUGCCAAUGGCACUGCCCGGUAGCUAAAUGCGGAAGAGAUAAGUGCUGAAAGCAUCUAAGCACGAAACUUGCCCCGAGAUGAGUUCUCCCUGAGACUUUAGGUCUCCUGAAGGAACGUUGAAGACGACGACGUUGAUAGGCCGGGUGUGUAAGCGCAGCGAUGCGUUGAGCUAACCGGUACUAAUGAACCGUGAGGCUUAACCUUACAACGCCGAAG
Molecule: ribosomal RNA, 1735 nt
Filed under: Salmonella enterica
Lineage: Bacteria; Pseudomonadati; Pseudomonadota; Gammaproteobacteria; Enterobacterales; Enterobacteriaceae
Description: bacterial LSU rRNA
Rfam family: Bacterial large subunit ribosomal RNA
Source: RNAcentral